AACAACCUGGAGGAGCCAUUGUCAUUCAAAUCAUGGAACUGACCUCUCCCUCACCCUCGGGCUCUGGGUGAGGAGCCCGGUUAGUCGUUGUCUGAACAGAGCAGAUCUUUUCAGAGCCGGUUUUCAGGAGCGUUGGAAAGAGGCUGACGAGGAGAAGGGAAGUUGGGGGACAAAAGAUCCGGGCUUGAUCCAGUGAAGCAUUGCUAACAAUAGCCGCUGUUCCCACACAGACGCCUGUCUUCAGGGAGGCUGAGUGGCCUGCCUCUGGAACAAUGAUAACAGCCACCCCAGAUGCAGCGUUGGCUCUUCACUGACUACGCUAACUGUCAUUAUCCAUAUAAAUACUAGGCAGAUGGCUACACUGACAGAGACAUAUUACUGGCUGCGAUGUGCCUAAGACUGUCAAGAAUGCAACUGGUAAGAGAUGGGGAAGUACAAACCACCAAAGAUGCCAUCUGCCUGCGAGAAGCAUGUGGUCCCAUGAGAGUCGAGGUGACAGUGAGGAAGCCAGGAGACUUCGGAGCCUGCCUGGCUGCAUUUCUAACAGGUGGCCAGGCCCCAGCUGCUGGGAUACCCAAAGGACCCAGGUCUGUGUGGGCUGUAGGGGCCCCGUGCACAGUGUGGCUGCCUGCCUGACACGAGUUCACAAGGACCCUGCCAUGGAUGCUGAUCAUGUUGGCUGUCUAGCUUCAGAACUUUCUCCCUAUGUUUGUGCAAACAUUGGUGAGAGGCAGCAAAUGCCAGGUGCUUGUGCACGGGCACACCUCCAGCUGCCAGCUCCUGAGGUGUGCUGCCCGAGGGCGGCCCCAGAGCACACUGUGCAAAGGCAGGACACAGGGCGAGCAGGGAGUCCUGGGGAACGCACACUUUGCCUCCCACGCAGCAGCCCUCAACCAACUGUCCAGAGUGGCCGGGUAACUCGCUUGCCUGUCAGCAGCAUAGCUCUGAGACGCCGGGUCCACACUGUCUCCCAGAACUCCCCAAGCUCUAGUUACUCACAAGGGUAACUCACUUGAUAACACACCCUUUUUGCUUCACUCCCUCCCUGUCUGGUUUUCCCAUUCCCUUACCAAGGUUUCCUUGGAUCAUCUCCCAAAUAAACCACUUGCACUCAAAUCCUUGUUUUGGGGCUGCUUCUGGGGGAUCC
This 1147-nucleotide long non-coding RNA is filed under the name Equus caballus (horse). Its description in RNAcentral is "lncRNA (ENSECAG00000050427.1)". The record is from RNAcentral. Lineage: Eukaryota; Metazoa; Chordata; Mammalia; Perissodactyla; Equidae.